Molecule: ribosomal RNA, 253 nt
Filed under: uncultured bacterium
Lineage: Bacteria
Description: partial 16S ribosomal RNA
Rfam family: Bacterial small subunit ribosomal RNA
Source: RNAcentral
UACGUAGGGUGCAAGCGUUGUCCGGAAUUAUUGGGCGUAAAGAGCUCGUAGGCGGUCUGUCGCGUCGGCUGUGAAAACCCGGAGCUCAACUCCGGGCCUGCAGUCGAUACGGGCAAACUAGAGUACUGCAGGGGAGACUGGAAUUCCUGGUGUAGCGGUGAAAUGCGCAGAUAUCAGGAGGAACACCGAUGGCGAAGGCAGGUCUCUGGGCCACUACUGACGCUGAGAAGCGAAAGCAUGGGGAGCGAACAGG